UUUGCAUAUCCAAUAAGCGGAGGAAAAGAAACCAACAGGGAUUGCCUCAGUAACGGCGAGUGAAGCGGCAAAAGCUCAAAUUUGAAAUCUAGCACCUUCGGUGUUCGAGUUGUAAUUUGAAGAUGGUAACCUUGGGUUUGGCUCUUGUCUAUGUUCCUUGGAACAGGACGUCAUAGAGGGUGAGAAUCCCGUCUGAUGAGAUGCCCAUUCCUAUGUAAGGUGCUAUCGAAGAGUCGAGUUGUUUGGGAAUGCAGCUCUAAGUGGGUGGUAAAUUCCAUCUAAAGCUAAAUAUUGGCGAGAGACCGAUAGCGAACAAGUACAGUGAUGGAAAGAUGAAAAGAACUUUGAAAAGAGAGUGAAAAAGUACGUGAAAUUGUUGAAAGGGAAGGGCAUUAGAUCAGACUUGGUGUUUUACGAUUAUCUUCUCUUCUUGAGUUGUGCACUCGUAUUUCACUGGGCCAGCAUCGAUUCGGAUGGCAAGAUAAUGGCAGUUGAAUGUGGCUUCACUUCGGUGGAGUGUUAUAGCUUCUGCUGAUAUUGCCUGUCUGGAUCGAGGGCUGCGUCUUUGACUAGGAU
RNAcentral lists this ribosomal RNA (576 nucleotides) under Hansenula anomala. RNAcentral's name for it is "Wickerhamomyces anomalus partial large subunit ribosomal RNA". It matches the Rfam family "Eukaryotic large subunit ribosomal RNA", at positions 35 to 613 of the family's 3401-position model. The record is from RNAcentral. Lineage: Eukaryota; Fungi; Ascomycota; Saccharomycetes; Phaffomycetales; Wickerhamomycetaceae.